Molecule: RNA transcript, 1042 nt
Organism: Fragaria vesca subsp. vesca
Lineage: Eukaryota; Viridiplantae; Streptophyta; Magnoliopsida; Rosales; Rosaceae
Gene name: DAG protein, chloroplastic-like
Exons: 4
Source: RefSeq, a predicted model, not a curated record
CACUCUCCAAAAUGGUUCAAACCCUAGUCCGAACCAUAGCCAUGGCCGCCGCCGCCGCCACCACCGCUCGCGCCGCCGCAAUCUCCUCCCUCAUCCCCAAGCGCCUCCUCUCCUCCACCUCCAGAAUCACCCGUCCCCCCUCCGUCCCCUCUCUUAUCCUCGGCCGUCGAUCUCUCGCGCCGCUCUCCCAUGCCGUCCGUCCCUACCCCGCCGCCGCCACGCGUUUCACCGCUAUUCGCUGCCGCGUUAACCGCUCCGGCGGGUCGUACUCCCCCUUAACUCCGGCUCGAACUUCAGCGAGCGUCCCCCGACGGAGAUGGCUCCGCUCUUCCCAGGCUGCGACUACGAGCACUUCCUCAUCGUCAUGGAUAAGCCCGGCGGCGAAGGAGCCACCAAGCAGGAGAUGAUCAACUGCUACAUUCAGACCGCUGCUAAAGUCCUCGGCAGUGAGGAAGAAGCGAAGAAGAAGAUCUACAAUGUGUCAUGUGAGAGGUAUUUUGGUUUCGGAGUGAACAUUGAUGAGGAGACCGCCAACAAGCUUGAAGGUUUGCCCGGAGUUCUUUUUGUGCUUCCGGAUUCAUAUGUUGAUGCUGAGAAUCAAGACUAUGGGGCGGAGUUGUUUGUCAAUGGAGAAAUUGUUCAAAGGUCUCCUGAAAGGCAGAGGAGGGUGGAGCCACAGCCCUCAAGAGCUCAGGACAGACCCCGAUACAAUGACAGAACUCGAUAUGUGCGUAGGAGGGAAAAUGUGCGGUGAAAAUGAUGGCGGGCUGGAAAUGUAAAUAACUAUGGUGAGAGGCAGUGCUAGCUUUCUGAAAGCAUAUCCCCAUCGGAAUGAGUCAUGAUUGUGCUAUAGGUUGCUUGAUAAGUACUUUCAAGUAAAUUUGAAAUUUGAUCAUGAUUCUCCUCUGUGAUGAGACUGAAAGUCUAGAAGCAAUUUGAUAAUUUCUGAUAACUUGAAUUAUUAAGAUACUUGACGUGAAAAUGUUUUUAUUUUUUUUAUUUUUUAUUUUGUGUCAGUUGCUGUGUUAUGUUAAUUGCAAAU